This 253-nucleotide ribosomal RNA is filed under the name uncultured bacterium. Its description in RNAcentral is "partial 16S ribosomal RNA". It matches the Rfam family "Bacterial small subunit ribosomal RNA", at positions 524 to 776 of the family's 1533-position model. The record is from RNAcentral.
UACAGAGGGUGCAAGCGUUGUUCGGAAUUACUGGGCGUAAAGCGCGUGUAGGCUGCGACGUAAGUCAGGUGUGAAAGCCCUCAGCUUAACUGAGGAAGUGCACUUGAUACUGCGUCGCUUGAGUGUCGGAGGGGGUGGCGGAAUUCCCGGUGUAGAGGUGAAAUUCGUAGAUAUCAGGAGGAACACCGGUGGCGAAGGCGGCUUCCUGGACAAUUACUGACGCUGAGACGCGAAAGCGUGGGGAGCAAACAGG